CUCAUACUAGUUUGCAACUAUCAAAAUUUUUCUCCUUAUUAUGUACCCAAAAUGCCCAAAAACUACAGCAUUUAACUGAGUCUGAGGACAUCAAUUUACAGACGGCCCAAGACUAACAACAUUUCGUAGCAGAGAGAGAGAGAGAGAGAGAGAGAGAGAGAG
Molecule: long non-coding RNA, 162 nt
Organism: Telopea speciosissima
Lineage: Eukaryota; Viridiplantae; Streptophyta; Magnoliopsida; Proteales; Proteaceae
Exons: 3
Source: RefSeq, a predicted model, not a curated record